GCUAACGAUUCAACUGUCAAGGGAAAGAGAAAGCUGGCUCUUGCCUGGGACCUCCUUGUUUAUUUUCCUGCGUUAACCUCAGCCUAUCCCUGGGGGAGCGUGUGCCUGCUCUGCCUUACGUGGGGAUCUGCGGCUGCCCUUCACUUCCUCCUGCACCGUUGGAACCACUUACCAGCAGGCAGAGGUGCCUCUGCCCUCUGGAUAAACUACUCCUUCCAGGCGGAGAAGGCAUCUUUCCAGAGCCUGGACUAAUUCUGCUCUUCCAGGAUGCACGUCUUCUCAUACCCACAUGUCUGAAUCUGGUUAAUAUGAAAGGCUGGCCCGUCACUAGAUUUUUCCUGAUUUCUCUCCUACAGGUCAUAUUUGACUUGC
This 372-nucleotide long non-coding RNA is filed under the name Equus caballus (horse). Its description in RNAcentral is "lncRNA (ENSECAG00000044916.1)". The record is from RNAcentral. Lineage: Eukaryota; Metazoa; Chordata; Mammalia; Perissodactyla; Equidae.